Molecule: long non-coding RNA, 552 nt
Organism: Ixodes scapularis (black-legged tick)
Lineage: Eukaryota; Metazoa; Arthropoda; Arachnida; Ixodida; Ixodidae
Exons: 3
Source: RefSeq, a predicted model, not a curated record
CGCUAGGUGCUGGCUCCUCUUGGUUUCUGGGGGCCUUGAUGACAGUUGUGCAGUGUCGGCAGUGUCGGCAUAACGUGAAACGGUUUUCUCGAGUAAUUGCUUGAUAUAUGGUCAUGCUUGAUUCAAUGAGGUUUGAUGUUUCUCCUAUGGAGGUUGCGGAGCAACCGAAGUUUUGCGGUUCAACUUUCUAGAGCUCGUUGCCUCAAGUGCUCCCACGACAGUUUAGCAGCCUGAUAAGCCCAAAACAACAAUUGUUUAUGUCUCUUGAAGUGGAAUGUCGUCCAAUCUCGUACUGGGGGCUGCAGCGAGUGACAACUCCCAGGACGCCAGCGAGGUUUCGCAGGCAUCUGAUAUGCACCUGUCCCUGUCCUGGUGUGCCGCCUUAUCCGCCAGAGUUCGCACCAAUCCAAGCUUGUCCACAGGCUUCAUCCUGGGCGCCAGGCUGUACUUGGGGCCUUUUUCCAAGAUACGGGUGACAUCCGGCGGUGCAGAAGCAUCUCCCAGAAAGGUGACACAGUCCGGCGAAUCACAUCUUCUCUUCUUUUUCGGCAG